AUGGCGGCGGCGGAGGUGACGGUGCCGGCGAACGCCGGAGCCGGGAAGGGAGGGAGUCUGCUAGGUGGGGAUCUGGAGGUGGAGUGGAGAAGAGUUAGAGAUAAGUCAAAGUUAGUAUCCCGGGCAUCGCGUGUGUCACGGGAGUGCAUCAAGAGAUGGAAGAGGAAACUGAUUUUCCAGAUUGAAGAUGUAGAGGACGAGAUUAGGGGGAGGAAGAGAUGGCAGAUCGAGGGAAAGGGAGGAGAUAGUUGCCACGAGACCGUUGAGGCGGGAGGAGUUAUGGGAAAGGCGCCAUUGACGGCGUCCAUGAAAGAGGAAACUAAGUUGAUUUCGGUCUUAUUUUCUCCUGAAUUUCUGCCUCCUCUAGUUAAUUCGUGA
This 378-nucleotide ribosomal RNA is filed under the name Triticum aestivum (bread wheat). RNAcentral describes it as "partial small subunit ribosomal RNA". The record is from RNAcentral. Lineage: Eukaryota; Viridiplantae; Streptophyta; Magnoliopsida; Poales; Poaceae.